This 1172-nucleotide ribosomal RNA is filed under the name Campylobacter coli. Its description in RNAcentral is "partial 23S ribosomal RNA". It matches the Rfam family "Bacterial large subunit ribosomal RNA", at positions 1 to 1188 of the family's 2925-position model. Lineage: Bacteria; Pseudomonadati; Campylobacterota; Epsilonproteobacteria; Campylobacterales; Campylobacteraceae. The record is from RNAcentral.
AAAAAAGGUAAGCUACUAAGAGCGAAUGGUGGAUGCCUUGACUGGUAAAGGCGAUGAAGGACGUACUAGACUGCGAUAAGCUACGGGGAGCUGUCAAGAAGCUUUGAUCCGUAGAUUUCCGAAUGGGGCAACCCAAUGUAUAGAGAUAUACAUUACCUAUAUAGGAGCGAACGAGGGGAAUUGAAACAUCUUAGUACCCUCAGGAAAAGAAAUCAAUAGAGAUUGCGUCAGUAGCGGCGAGCGAAAGCGCAAGAGGGCAAACCCAGUGCUUGCACUGGGGGUUGUAGGACUGCAAUGUGCAAGAGGUAAGUUUAGCAGAACAUUCUGGAAAGUAUAACCAUAGAGGGUGAUAGUCCCGUAUGCGAAAAACAAACCUUAGCUAGCAGUAUCCUGAGUAGGGCGGGACACGAGAAAUCCUGUCUGAAGCUGGGUCGACCACGAUCCAACCCUAAAUACUAAUACCAGAUCGAUAGUGCACAAGUACCGUGAGGGAAAGGUGAAAAGAACUGAGGUGAUCAGAGUGAAAUAGAACCUGAAACCAUUUGCUUACAAUCAUUCAGAGCCCUAUGUAGCAAUACAGGGUGAUGGACUGCCUUUUGCAUAAUGAGCCUGCGAGUUGUGGUGUCUGGCAAGGUUAAGCAAACGCGAAGCCGUAGCGAAAGCGAGUCUGAAUAGGGCGCUUAGUCAGAUGCUGCAGACCCGAAACGAAGUGAUCUAUCCAUGAGCAAGUUGAAGCUAGUGUAAGAACUAGUGGAGGACUGAACCCAUAGGCGUUGAAAAGCCCCGGGAUGACUUGUGGAUAGGGGUGAAAGGCCAAUCAAACUUCGUGAUAGCUGGUUCUCUCCGAAAUAUAUUUAGGUAUAGCGUUGUGUCGUAAUAUAAGGGGGUAGAGCACUGAAUGGGCUAGGGCAUACACCAAUGUACCAAACCCUAUCAAACUCCGAAUACCUUAUAUGUAAUCACAGCAGUCAGGCGGCGAGUGAUAAAAUCCGUCGUCAAGAGGGAAACAACCCAGACUACCAGCUAAGGUCCCUAAAUCUUACUUAAGUGGAAAACGAUGUGAAGUUACUUAAACAACCAGGAGGUUGGCUUAGAAGCAGCCAUCCUUUAAAGAAAGCGUAAUAGCUCACUGGUCUAGUGAUUUUGCGCGGAAAAUAUAACGGGGCUAAAGU